UUCAAAAGCAGGGUCUCAUUCAAUAUCAGAACCAACCACAACAAUACCAACAACAAGCAUCCAAAAAAAUUGAUUGGGAACUUGCCAUUGAAAAGAUGACAGCUCAAAAUUCUCAGUUCCAAGAAGAAACAAGAAAUAAUCAGAGGAACACUAUUGCUUCUAUCAAAAAUCUUGAAGUUCAGAUGGGUCAGAUAGCACAACAAAUAGCAGGUUCUCGAGCACAAGGUUCCCUAAUAAGUGC
This 241-nucleotide long non-coding RNA is filed under the name Lathyrus oleraceus (garden pea). RNAcentral describes it as "Pisum sativum (pea) long non-coding RNA (PSAT_LNC018525)". Lineage: Eukaryota; Viridiplantae; Streptophyta; Magnoliopsida; Fabales; Fabaceae. The record is from RNAcentral.